This 458-nucleotide ribosomal RNA is filed under the name uncultured bacterium. RNAcentral describes it as "bacterial SSU rRNA". It matches the Rfam family "Bacterial small subunit ribosomal RNA", at positions 356 to 831 of the family's 1533-position model. The record is from RNAcentral.
GGGGGAUAUUGCACAAUGGGGGAAACCCUGAUGCAGCGACGCCGCGUGGAGGAAGAAGGUUUUCGGGUUGUAAACUCCUGUCGUUAGGGACGAUAAUGACGGUACCUAACAAGAAAGCACCGGCUAACUACGUGCCAGCAGCCGCGGUAAAACGUAGGGUGCAAGCGUUGUCCGGAAUUACUGGGUGUAAAGGGAGCGCAGGCGGGAAGACAAGUUGGAAGUGAAAACCAUGGGCUCAACCCAUGAAUUGCUUUCAAAACUGUUUUUCUUGAGUAGUGCAGAGGUAGAUGGAAUUCCCGGUGUAGCGGUGGAAUGCGUAGAUAUCGGGAGGAACACCAGUGGCGAAGGCGGUCUACUGGGCACCAACUGACGCUGAGGCUCGAAAGCAUGGGUAGCAAACAGGAUUAGAUACCCUGGUAGUCCAUGCCGUAAACGAUGAUUACUAGGUGUUGGGGGAU